GAUGAAGAACGCAGCGAAAUGCGAUAAGUAAUGUGAAUUGCAGAAUUCAGUGAAUCAUCGAGUCUUUGAACGCACAUUGCGCCCCCUGGUAUUCCGGGGGGCAUGCCUGUCCGAGCGUCAUUGCUGCCCUCAAGCACGGCUUGUGUGUUGGGCCCCCGUCCCCGGUUUCCCCCGGGGACGGGCCCGAAAGGCAGCGGCGGCACCGCGUCCGGUCCUCGAGCGUAUGGGGCUUUGUCACCCGCUCUGUAGGCCCGGCCGGCGCCAGCCGACACCCAACUUUAUUUCUAAGGUUGACCUCGGAUCAGGUAGGGAUACCCGCUGAACUUAAGCAUAUCAAUAAGCGGAAGA
RNAcentral lists this unclassified non-coding RNA (348 nucleotides) under soil metagenome. RNAcentral describes it as "partial contains 5.8S ribosomal RNA, internal transcribed spacer 2, and large subunit ribosomal RNA". The stretch from base 1 to 120 matches the Rfam family "5.8S ribosomal RNA", at positions 35 to 154 of the family's 154-position model. The record is from RNAcentral.